This is a long non-coding RNA of Helianthus annuus (common sunflower), 726 nucleotides long. RefSeq lists it as uncharacterized. NCBI's taxonomy places the organism in Eukaryota, Viridiplantae, Streptophyta, Magnoliopsida, Asterales, Asteraceae. The record is from RefSeq and is a predicted model, not a curated record. The transcript is spliced from 3 exons.
UACGUUUUCAAUAUUAUAGAAUGUAACUCGUCAAUCGGUUUGGCGUUUUGGUCGAUCUGAUGAUUUAGAAUUAAUCUUUUGGCAAUGGAAACAAGUUCAAACAAAAGUGUAACCGUCGGACUUGUAUAUAAUGUCAACUAAGCACACCCUCUCAUCCCUUUUCGAUAUCCAACACCCUCCCAUUCUGCCAUCGGCUUCCUGCACGCCCGCCCACCGGAACGACGCCGGAAUCCGCAGAGGCAUCCACCAUUCUUUCGAAGUCACCGAAAAAAAAGUGGAUCUGAUCGGCAUCGUCGCGACUCCGGCCAAACCCAACCAUUCCGAAUUUAAUAUAUAUAAAUACCGACACCCUCACCACUCUCGACACCCUCAUACACACUCGCAACACGUUUCGAUAACCUAACACCUCGCCGGAGACCGAGAAGACGACCGGAGAGAACCACGGCCUUGCAGGGGAUCGGAGACGAAUUCGUUGCCACGUCGACGUUCGUUUCAUCACGUAUUCGGAUAACCAUUAUGUUCGUUCUUUUGGAUUCUCCAAUCUUUACUCGUGCGUAUUUACAAGAAACGCAACGCAAUCAAGGUGCUGAGCUGGAAUUUGCAUGGAGGAGUGUAGUGGCUAUCUAGAACCAUUGUUGGGUUCUUACUUAAAUAAAUUGUUUUUAAACUAUUGUUGAGACCUUAGACCUUAUGCUUCCGCUAGCAACGUAAACUAUGUUUUAAACU